Hydra vulgaris (swiftwater hydra) is the source of this 92-nucleotide non-coding RNA. NCBI's taxonomy places the organism in Eukaryota, Metazoa, Cnidaria, Hydrozoa, Anthoathecata, Hydridae. The record is from RefSeq and is a predicted model, not a curated record.
UAUUUUUAAAGAAAAAUACUGUUUAGUCGAUUACUACAGCAAAAAAGACUGUCAAAUUGUGAUUGCAAAUACACUAAAGCAUGCACCUGGAU